Long non-coding RNA from Carassius carassius (crucian carp), 884 nucleotides. RefSeq lists it as uncharacterized. The record is from RefSeq and is a predicted model, not a curated record. The transcript has 2 exons. Lineage: Eukaryota; Metazoa; Chordata; Actinopteri; Cypriniformes; Cyprinidae.
UAAUGCUUAUACAUUUCAAGCUGGGUCUUUGUGUAUUCCAAAAUGAAUAAUUAAAAAAUAUAUAUGUUAGCGUACAAAAGAUGCUAGCAGCAUGCUUGUUAGUGGGAGAUACCAGAGUUUAAUUCAUAAAAUCUUUCAAAAUGUGUGUUCAGGCAACUGUUGAUUAUUAAUUUCUGCUGUGUGUAAUAUUACACCGAACUGUAAUGAGAGCUGCUUGUAAAUUUUCUGUCCUGUAAUCAGUUCUAUUAAUGGAAUAUCUUGCUUCACAUGAUUCUUUUAGCAGAGAUUAUCAACUAUUCAUAAUAAUUGUUAUUGUUCAUGUAGCUAUUCUUACUGUGAAUCAGAGUGACUUGUCCAUGCCUAUUCUUCAAAUCUUGGCAGAUCAUGUCAUCCUCACCACCACUAUCAAAUGUGUCUGGUACAGUGCGCACCACAGGUCAAGUUUAUAAAUGUUUUAAACAGAAUGCUAAUUUAUAAACUUAUUGUGUAAUGGAUCAGUAAUCAGACCUCCAACCUCUUGAGCACUUUCCUGUAUAUUUGAUUGCCCUUUUUUGUAGGGUUGUAUUUUUACCCCCUUUGAAACAGAGCCAUACCCAUGUCAAAGCAGUGACAUCAGUCACUCUGAUCAGCAGACUAUAGGAGCUGCUUUCAAGAUGCCAAGCAGUAAAUGAUUAGUUUUGUCUGACUCAACAUGUCAUGCUCAUCAGAUCAAAUUUUACUGUUGUAUGAUGCUAGCCAGUGCAGUUAAUACUGAAGAAUACUGUCUGGGUGUAUUUGCAACUCUGUGAAAGAAAUAAUGGGUUUUGUGCUGCUUUUAACACCCCACAAACACAUCCUCUUGAUUAUAACUCCCAUUAUUUUCAUGCUCUCUUUUUUCAUUCUUG